Molecule: ribosomal RNA, 479 nt
Filed under: Vishniacozyma victoriae
Lineage: Eukaryota; Fungi; Basidiomycota; Tremellomycetes; Tremellales; Bulleribasidiaceae
Description: partial small subunit ribosomal RNA
Rfam family: Eukaryotic large subunit ribosomal RNA
Source: RNAcentral
AGCGGAGGAAAAGAAACUAACUAGGAUUCCCUUAGUAACGGCGAGUGAACCGGGAUGAGCUCAAAUUUAAAAUCUGGCGUCUUUCAGGCGUCCGAGUUGUAAUCUAUAGAGGCGUUUUCCGCGCCGGACCGCGUCCAAGUCUCUUGGAAUAGAGUAUCAAAGAGGGUGACAAUCCCGUACUUGACGCGACAACCGGUGCUCUGUGAUACGUUCUCAAUGAGUCGAGUUGUUUGGGAAUGCAGCUCUAAAUGGGUGGUAAAUUCCAUCUAAGGCUAAAUAUUGGCGAGAGACCGAUAGCGAACAAGUACCGUGAGGGAAAGAUGAAAAGCACUUUGGAAAGAGAGUUAAACAGCACGUGAAAUUGUUAAAAGGGAAACGAUUGAAGUCAGUCGUGUGAAAGGUAUUCAGCCGUCUCUGGCGGUGUAUUUGCCUUUCACGGGUCAACAUCAGUUUGAUCCGGUAGAAAAAGGCGGGAGGAA